Molecule: ribosomal RNA, 567 nt
Filed under: uncultured fungus
Lineage: Eukaryota; Fungi
Description: eukaryotic LSU rRNA
Rfam family: 5.8S ribosomal RNA (bases 226-379)
Source: RNAcentral
AAGUCGUAACAAGGUUUCCGUAGGUGAACCUGCGGAAGGAUCAUUACCGAGUUCAUGCCCUUCGGGGUAGAUCUCCCACCCUUUGUUUACUAUACUAUGUUGCUUUGGCGGACCGCCUGAUCGCCCCUCGGGGUCUUCAGCUACCGGCUUCGGCUGGUACGUGUCCGCCAGAGGACCCAAAACCCUGAAUAUUAGUGUCGUCUGAGUAAAAAGUUUAAUAUUUAAAACUUUCAACAACGGAUCUCUUGGCUCUGGCAUCGAUGAAGAACGCAGCGAAAUGCGAUAAGUAAUGUGAAUUGCAGAAUUCAGUGAAUCAUCGAAUCUUUGAACGCACAUUGCGCCCCUUGGUAUUCCGAGGGGCAUGCCUAUUCGAGCGUCAUUAUCACCCCUCAAGCCUAGCUUGGUGUUGAGACCUGCUGUCAAGGCAGUCUCUAAAAUCAGUGGCAGUGCUGUCAGGCUCUAAGCGUAGUAAAUUCAUCGCUAUAGGGUCCUGGUGGAUACUCGUCAGAACCCCCCCAUUUUUUAAUGAUUGACCUCGGAUUAGGUAGGGAUACCCGCUGAACUUAA